This 910-nucleotide ribosomal RNA is filed under the name uncultured bacterium. Its description in RNAcentral is "bacterial SSU rRNA". It matches the Rfam family "Bacterial small subunit ribosomal RNA", at positions 33 to 917 of the family's 1533-position model. The record is from RNAcentral.
ACGCUGGCGGCGUGCCUAACACAUGCAAGUCGAGCGGCAGCGAGUUUUACACUGAAUUCUGGAAGCUUCUGGUUGAAAGAGAAGAUUUAUUCAAGAGUUUUGUGUAAAAUGUCGGCGAGCGGCGGACGGCUGAGUAACGCGUGGGAACGUACCCCAAAGUGAGGGAUAACGCAUCGAAAGGUGUGCUAAUACCGCAUAUGGUCUUCGGAUUAAAGCCUUCGGGCGCUUUGGGAACGGCCUGCGUAAGAUUAGAUAGUUGGUGGGGUAAUGGCCUACCAAGUCAACGAUCUUUAACUGGUUUGAGAGGAUGAUCAGUCAGACUGGAACUGAGACACGGUCCAGACUCCUACGGGAGGCAGCAGUGAGGAAUCUUCCACAAUGGGCGAAAGCCUGAUGGAGCAACGCCGCGUGCAGGAUGAAGGCCUUCGGGUUGUAAACUGCUUUUAUAAGUGAGGAAUAUGACAGUAACUUAUGAAUAAGGAUCGGCUAACUACGUGCCAGCAGCCGCGGUCAUACGUAGGAUCCGAGCGUUAUCCGGAGUGACUGGGCGUAAAGAGUUGCGUAGGUGGUUUAAUAAGCGAAUAGUGAAAUCUGGUGGCUCAACCAUUCAGACUAUUAUUCGAACUGUUAAACUCGAGAGCAGAAGAGGUAGCUGGAAUUUCUAGUGUAGGAGUGAAAUCCGUAGAUAUUAGAAGGAACACCGAUGGCGUAGGCAGGCUACUGGGCUGUUUCUGACACUGAGGCACGAAAGCGUGGGGAGCGAACCGGAUUAGAUACCCGGGUAGUCCACGCCGUAAACGAUGGAUACUAGCUGUUUGGGGUAUCGACCCCCUGAGUAGCCAAGCUAACGCGUUAAGUAUCCCGCCUGUGGAGUACGAUCGCAAGAUUAAAACAUAAAGGAAUUGACGGG